Molecule: ribosomal RNA, 958 nt
Filed under: uncultured bacterium
Lineage: Bacteria
Description: bacterial SSU rRNA
Rfam family: Bacterial small subunit ribosomal RNA
Source: RNAcentral
CAUGCAAGUCGAGGGGCAGCAUGAACUUAGCUUGCUAAGUUUGAUGGCGACCGGCGCACGGGUGAGUAACACGUAUCCAACCUGCCGAUGACUCGGGGAUAGCCUUUCGAAAGAAAGAUUAAUACCCGAUGGCAUAGUUCUUCCGCAUGGUAGAACUAUUAAAGAAUUUCGGUCAUCGAUGGGGAUGCGUUCCAUUAGGUUGUUGGCGGGGUAACGGCCCACCAAGCCUUCGAUGGAUAGGGGUUCUGAGAGGAAGGUCCCCCACAUUGGAACUGAGACACGGUCCAAACUCCUACGGGAGGCAGCAGUGAGGAAUAUUGGUCAAUGGACGAGAGUCUGAACCAGCCAAGUAGCGUGAAGGAUGAAGGUCCUACGGAUUGUAAACUUCUUUUAUAAGGGAAUAAAACCUCCCACGUGUGGGAGCUUGUAUGUACCUUAUGAAUAAGCAUCGGCUAACUCCGUGCCAGCAGCCGCGGUAAUACGGAGGAUGCGAGCGUUAUCCGGAUUUAUUGGGUUUAAAGGGAGCGUAGGCGGACGCUUAAGUCAGUUGUGAAAGUUUGCGGCUCAACCGUAAAAUUGCAGUUGAUACUGGGUGUCUUGAGUACAGUAGAGGCAGGCGGAAUUCGUGGUGUAGCGGUGAAAUGCUUAGAUAUCACGAAGAACUCCGAUUGCGAAGGCAGCUUGCUGGACUGUAACUGACGCUGAUGCUCGAAAGUGUGGGUAUCAAACAGGAUUAGAUACCCUGGUAGUCCACACAGUAAACGAUGAAUACUCGCUGUUUGCGAUAUACAGUAAGCGGCCAAGCGAAAGCGUUAAGUAUUCCACCUGGGGAGUACGCCGGCAACGGUGAAACUCAAAGGAAUUGACGGGGGCCCGCACAAGCGGAGGAACAUGUGGUUUAAUUCGAUGAUACGCGAGGAACCUUACCCGGGCUUGAAUUGCAACUGAAUGAUGUGGA